CCAAUAGCGUAUAUUAAAGUUGUUGAGGUUAAAAAUCUCCUAGUCGGAUUUCAGUUCCGGACUGACGGUUCACCGCCCGGUGCCUACUGUCACGCUCCGAACAGCCUUAACACCGCCGGCUGGCACGGGGUGCUCUUCAUCGAGUGUCCCGAGUGGACGGCACGUUUACUUUGAAAGAAUUAGAGUGCUCAGAGCAGGUUCCUUGAAUGGCCUGAAUGUCUAUGAAUGGAGUAGGGCCUAUGUUCUAUUUUGUUGGUUUUCGGAACCCGAGGUAAUGACUAAUAGGAACAGGCGGGGGCAUUCGUAUUGCGACGCUAGAGGUGAAAUUCAUGGACCGUCGCAAGACGAACUACUGCGAAAGCAUUUGCCAAGGAUGUUUUCAUUAAUCAGGAACGAAAGUUAGAGGUUCGAAGGCGAUCAGAUACCGCCCUAGUUCUAACCAUAAACGAUGCUGACUAGCGAUUCGCCGGCGUUAUUCCCAAGAGCAGGCGGGCAUCUUCUGGGAAACCAAAGUCUUUGAGUUCCGGAGGAAGUAUGGUUGCAAAGCUGAAACUUAAAGGAAUUGACGGAA
RNAcentral lists this ribosomal RNA (571 nucleotides) under uncultured Panulirus. Its description in RNAcentral is "SSU rRNA". It matches the Rfam family "Eukaryotic small subunit ribosomal RNA", at positions 591 to 1161 of the family's 1831-position model. Lineage: Eukaryota; Metazoa; Arthropoda; Malacostraca; Decapoda; Palinuridae. The record is from RNAcentral.